ACGAUGUUAGCUCAACGGAUAGAGCGACGAGCUUCUAACUCGUAGGUUGUUGGUUCAAUUCCAUCACAUCGUG
This 73-nucleotide transfer RNA is filed under the name Diphylleia rotans. RNAcentral's name for it is "tRNA-Arg". It matches the Rfam family "tRNA". From Rfam's summary of the family: Transfer RNA (tRNA) molecules are approximately 80 nucleotides in length. Their secondary structure includes four short double-helical elements and three loops (D, anti-codon, and T loops). Lineage: Eukaryota; Collodictyonidae. The record is from RNAcentral.